AGAGAGCUUGCUCUCGGGUGACGAGCGGCGGACGGGUGAGUAAUGUCUGGGAAACUGCCUGAUGGAGGGGGAUAACUACUGGAAACGGUAGCUAAUACCGCAUAACGUCGCAAGACCAAAGUGGGGGACCUUCGGGCCUCAUGCCAUCAGAUGUGCCCAGAUGGGAUUAGCUAGUAGGUGGGGUAAUGGCUCACCUAGGCGACGAUCCCUAGCUGGUCUGAGAGGAUGACCAGCCACACUGGAACUGAGACACGGUCCAGACUCCUACGGGAGGCAGCAGUGGGGAAUAUUGCACAAUGGGCGCAAGCCUGAUGCAGCCAUGCCGCGUGUGUGAAGAAGGCCUUCGGGUUGUAAAGCACUUUCAGCGGGGAGGAAGGCGUUAAGGUUAAUAACCUUGGCGAUUGACGUUACCCGCAGAAGAAGCACCGGCUAACUCCGUGCCAGCAGCCGCGGUAAUACGGAGGGUGCAAGCGUUAAUCGGAAUUACUGGGCGUAAAGCGCACGCAGGCGGUCUGUCAAGUCGGAUGUGAAAUCCCCGGGCUCAACCUGGGAACUGCAUUCGAAACUGGCAGGCUAGAGUCUUGUAGAGGGGGGUAGAAUUCCAGGUGUAGCGGUGAAAUGCGUAGAGAUCUGGAGGA
RNAcentral lists this ribosomal RNA (638 nucleotides) under uncultured Enterobacteriaceae bacterium. Its description in RNAcentral is "SSU rRNA". It matches the Rfam family "Bacterial small subunit ribosomal RNA", at positions 73 to 705 of the family's 1533-position model. Lineage: Bacteria; Pseudomonadati; Pseudomonadota; Gammaproteobacteria; Enterobacterales; Enterobacteriaceae. The record is from RNAcentral.